RNAcentral lists this ribosomal RNA (503 nucleotides) under uncultured bacterium. RNAcentral describes it as "partial 16S ribosomal RNA". It matches the Rfam family "Bacterial small subunit ribosomal RNA", at positions 30 to 523 of the family's 1533-position model. The record is from RNAcentral.
AUUGAACGCUGGCGGCAGGCUUAACACAUGCAAGUCGAGCGGGGUGAUGGUGCUUGCACUAUCACUUAGCGGCGGACGGGUGAGUAAUGCUUAGGAAUCUGCCUAUUAGUGGGGGACAACAUCUCGAAAGGGAUGCUAAUACCGCAUACGUCCUACGGGAGAAAGCAGGGGAUCACUUGUGACCUUGCGCUAAUAGAUGAGCCUAAGUCGGAUUAGCUAGUUGGUGGGGUAAAGGCCUACCAAGGCGACGAUCUGUAGCGGGUCUGAGAGGAUGAGCCGCCACACUGGGACUGAGACACGCCCCAGACUCCUACGGGGGGCAGCAGUGGGGAAUAUUGGACAAUGGGGGGAACCCUAAUCCAGCCAUGCCGCGUGUGUGAAGAAGGCCUUAUGGUUGUAAAGCACUUUAAGCGAGGAGGAGGCUCUUUUGGUUAAUACCCAAGAUGAGUGGACGUUACUCGCAGAAUAAGCACCGGCUAACUCUGUGCCAGCCGCCGCCGUAA